GGGGUUCUGAGUGCAGAUCACUAUAAUUGCACUUAUGCCCCUUGGGCUCCAAACCCUCAGUAUGGUUUCUCUUGCAGAAAUACGCUGUUAUUAAGUUCCCCCAAGACAACACAGUUGAUGUUGUGGCUUCCAACUGGCUUGAAGUUACAAAAGAGGGUAUAUUUUGCUACUGGCCAAGAAAUGGUUUUACUGCCAAAGCAAAAAAAAGAGCCACUCCAGAUACUACCUUGUGGUCUAAACAUGUUGCAGUGGUUCUGGUGUAUGCAGAUAGCUAUGAGGAAGCCAGACUGAAAGCCAACCAGGCCACAGUGACAUCAAACCUGGAGAGCGAUGAGGAACCUCCACGGAGACUAGUACGACCUCCAGCUAGAUAUUUGAGAAAGCUGGAU
Molecule: long non-coding RNA, 389 nt
Organism: Rhinichthys klamathensis goyatoka
Lineage: Eukaryota; Metazoa; Chordata; Actinopteri; Cypriniformes; Leuciscidae
Exons: 3
Source: RefSeq, a predicted model, not a curated record